This 71-nucleotide transfer RNA is filed under the name Loxodonta africana (African savanna elephant). It matches the Rfam family "tRNA". Rfam says of the family: Transfer RNA (tRNA) molecules are approximately 80 nucleotides in length. Their secondary structure includes four short double-helical elements and three loops (D, anti-codon, and T loops). The record is from Rfam by way of RNAcentral. Lineage: Eukaryota; Metazoa; Chordata; Mammalia; Proboscidea; Elephantidae.
ACAUUGGUGGUUCAGUGGUAGAAUUCUUGACUUCUGUGCAGGAGGCGCAGGUUUGAUUCCUGGCCAUUACA